GCAUUGGUGGUACAGCGGCAGAAUUCUCACCUUCCAUGUGGGAGGCCCAGGUUAGAUUCCAGGCCAAUGAA
Molecule: transfer RNA, 71 nt
Filed under: Loxodonta africana (African savanna elephant)
Lineage: Eukaryota; Metazoa; Chordata; Mammalia; Proboscidea; Elephantidae
Rfam family: tRNA
About the family: Transfer RNA (tRNA) molecules are approximately 80 nucleotides in length. Their secondary structure includes four short double-helical elements and three loops (D, anti-codon, and T loops).
Source: Rfam by way of RNAcentral